GAGACUCUGUGCGCGUGCAUAUCAAUAAGCGGAGGAAAAGAAACUAACAAGGAUUCCCUUAGUAACGGCGAGUGAAGCGGGAAGAGCUCAAAUUUGAAAUCUUCAAGGUUUUACCUUGACGAAUUGUAGUUUAAAGAAGUGUUUUCUGUUGAAGUUUUGGUAAAAGUUCUUUGGAAUAGGACAUCAUAGAGGGUGAGAAUCCCGUAUUUGACCAUUAUUUUCAGCUGUGUGAUACACUUUCAAAGAGUCGGAUUGUUUGGGAAUGCAGUCCAAAAUGGGUGGUAAAUUUCAUCUAAAGCUAAAUAUUGGCGAGAGACCGAUAGCGAACAAGUACCGUGAGGGAAAGAUGAAAAGAACUUUGAAAAGAGAGUUAAACAGUACGUGAAAUUGUCAAAGGGAAGCGUUUGACACCAGUGUUGUUUUCUCGAAAAUCAAUUAAAAAGAGUUGGAUUUUGUGUUGUAUCGACCUUAACAGCUUUCUUCACUCUUUUCCUGCUUUUUUUAAUGCACUUUUCGUUUAACAAGUCAACAUCAGUUUCUUUUGUUGUAAAAGGGUCAUUGGAAGGUGGCUUUCUCUUCGGAGAAAGUGUUUAUAGCCUUUGAUCUCUGCAAUCGGAGAGACUGAGGUCUGCAGCGUAGAUCCUUCGGGGUUAGAUACAUUUGUGCUAAGCUACAGCUUUUCAUAGACAACUUGUUGACUAUGUUUAGUCUUGUGACUAACCCGCUUAUGCUAUUUUACCUACGCUUAGGAUGUUGAAUCUGUGCGAGACUAC
RNAcentral lists this ribosomal RNA (773 nucleotides) under uncultured Neocallimastigales. Its description in RNAcentral is "partial large subunit ribosomal RNA". It matches the Rfam family "Eukaryotic large subunit ribosomal RNA", at positions 23 to 644 of the family's 3401-position model. Lineage: Eukaryota; Fungi; Neocallimastigomycota; Neocallimastigomycetes; Neocallimastigales. The record is from RNAcentral.